This 253-nucleotide ribosomal RNA is filed under the name uncultured Eubacteriales bacterium. RNAcentral describes it as "uncultured Clostridiales bacterium partial 16S ribosomal RNA". It matches the Rfam family "Bacterial small subunit ribosomal RNA", at positions 524 to 776 of the family's 1533-position model. The record is from RNAcentral. Lineage: Bacteria; Bacillati; Bacillota; Clostridia; Eubacteriales.
UACGGAGGAUGCGAGCGUUAUCCGGAUUUAUUGGGUUUAAAGGGAGCGUAGACGGUGAUGCAAGUCAGAAGUGAAAGCCCGGGGCUCAACUCCGGGACUGCUUUGGAAACUGUGUAACUGGAGUACAGGAGGGGCAGGCGGAAUUCCUGGUGUAGCGGUGAAAUGCGUAGAUAUCAGGAGGAACACCGGCGGCGAAGGCGGCCUGCUGGACUGAAACUGACGUUGAGGCUCGAAAGCGUGGGGAGCAAACAGG